GAUGAAGAACGUAGCGAAAUGCGAUAAGUAGUGUGAAUUGCAGAAUUCAGUGAAUCAUUGAAUCUUUGAACGCACAUUGCGCCCCUUGGUAUUCCAUGGGGCAUGCCUGUUCGAGCGUCAUUUGUACCUUCAAGCUCUGCUUGGUGUUGGGUGUUUGUCUCGCCUCUGCGUGUAGACUCGCCUCAAAACAAUUGGCAGCCGGCGUAUUGAUUUCGGAGCGCAGUACAUCUCGCGCUUUGCACUCAUAACGACGACGUCCAAAAGUACAUUUUUACACUCUUGACCUCGGAUCAGGUAGGGAUACCCGCUGAACUUAAGCAUAUCAAUAAGCGGAGGA
RNAcentral lists this unclassified non-coding RNA (337 nucleotides) under soil metagenome. Its description in RNAcentral is "partial contains 5.8S ribosomal RNA, internal transcribed spacer 2, and large subunit ribosomal RNA". The stretch from base 1 to 120 matches the Rfam family "5.8S ribosomal RNA", at positions 35 to 154 of the family's 154-position model. The record is from RNAcentral.